Molecule: unclassified non-coding RNA, 412 nt
Filed under: Rhynchospora sanariapensis
Lineage: Eukaryota; Viridiplantae; Streptophyta; Magnoliopsida; Poales; Cyperaceae
Description: partial external transcribed spacer 1F
Source: RNAcentral
UGCUCUGUGCGGUUUUGUCCGAGCGAUUACACGAGUUGGGUCCCAUGAGGGGUGUUUGGCGCAUGCCUCGUUGACAUUUUAUUGCCUCUGGGGCAGUCAAAUCGUUGGAGAAACACUUGUGCAAUGCCACGGUGAUAGUGCCGUGGGUCCUCUUGCAGUUGUUGUCGGCUCUUGCGGAUGUGGCGUUCCCGAUAAGUGCUGUCGGCCAUCGGACCACAGCUUUGAAAUGUCYCCCGUACGGAUUACCGGUCCUUCGAUCGCCCCUCAUGUCGGUUCUGCCUUCAUGUCGGGGUGACGCGUGGGUUGCCUUUCUGAUCGAAAUAACAGCGAUUGUGGGCUAUGGUGCUGCACGGGCGUCCCCCACCCCGGGGUUGUUCCGGAAGCAACGUGCCGACUCUCGUAUAAGACGUGC